Molecule: long non-coding RNA, 1005 nt
Filed under: Strigops habroptila (Kakapo)
Lineage: Eukaryota; Metazoa; Chordata; Aves; Psittaciformes; Psittacidae
Description: lncRNA (ENSSHBG00005020058.1)
Source: RNAcentral
UUUUUUCCCUUUUUUCCUCUGUUUUUCGGCUAUGUCUUUACUCGUUGCUUUCCCCGCUGCCGGGUGACGCCGCCGGGCCGGUGCUCGGGCCCCGCUCGGUCAGGCCGGGCCCCGCCGCCGCGGCGGGAGCCUGCCGCGCCGCUCGCCCUCCCGAGCCAUGGCUCUCUCUGCGCUCCGCCGCCCGGGCAGCGGCUCGGCUGCUGCAGCGCCGCGGCCGCCGCAAAGGCGCAUGCGCACGGCGCCCCCCGCCCCGCCCCUCCCGCGCCGGACACGCCCCCCGUGACGUCACCGCCUCUAUUAAGGAGGCGAGCCCCGCGCGGCGGCGCCCAGAGCCGGUGCCGUCCUGCGCCGCCGCCCCGGGCCCUAGCGCCCCCCUCCGCCUCGCUCCCGGGCACAAAGGCCCGAUCCCCCCCUGCUCCCCCCGCACCCCGCCUCCGCCGGGCGGGCGGCUCCCGGGUAUUAGGGCCGCCCGCCCCGCUCCGCCCCUUCGGUGACUCCGCGUUUUCCGUGAGCGCGGAGCCUCCUCACCUCACCGUGAGCUUCCGGGGGGUGAGACGCCCUGCUCCUGGCGCCCGCGGGCCGUGCCCGCCCCGUGGCCCCUCUAUGUUCCCCCGUCAAUGUCCCCCCCUCAGUGUCCCGCAGCCACCGGCUCCCGCACGCACGCCGGCCCAGGGACCGCUCCUCUGCGCUGUCCUACCGGGAAACUUCCCGCUACCCGGCCUGGGGACGAGCGCUGGGAACCCCACGGCGCUGCGUCCCGGGUCCAGCUGGGGUUUUCCCCUCGCUUCGGCUCCCGCUUGCCCUUCCUAAGCUCGUCCCGUGUGUUCCCCUCCGAGAUCCCGCUGGGCCCAGCUAGUCAAUGCCAUGCGGGGGACCUCCCCCUCCAGCCCCCGCCGGGGACCCCGAUGGCCCGGGGGCCGUGCCCGGCGGCACAAGGCGAGCAUAUGCCCCGAGGCGCCCGGCAGCCGGACAUGCCGCUGGUUUUCUUUUCUUUUUUCCCCCAAA